UUCACAUUAGCACGUCGUACAUGUACUUUACAUUUAUUAGCUAAGUUUUUAGUUAUGGUCUUUUUUUAUUAAUUUAACACCACUUCAAAUAUAUAUAUAUAUAUAUAUCCUUGCACCAAAAGGCGAAAUCCCUCGCCCCCAGGGCCCCCAUCCCUUGGCCCGACAACGAUUGAUGGAGGAAUGUAAAUCAUGGUAACUC
RNAcentral lists this long non-coding RNA (199 nucleotides) under Erythranthe guttata (spotted monkey flower). Its description in RNAcentral is "long non-coding RNA (EGUT_LNC001990)". Lineage: Eukaryota; Viridiplantae; Streptophyta; Magnoliopsida; Lamiales; Phrymaceae. The record is from RNAcentral.